UACGUAGGGGGCAAGCGUUAUCCGGAUUCACUGGGUGUAAAGGGAGCGUAGACGGCGACGCAAGUCUGGAGUGAAAGCCCGGGGCCCAACCCCGAGACUGCUCUGGAGACUGCGUCGCUGGAGUACGGGAGGGGCAGGCGGAAUUCCUGGUGUAGCGGUGAAAUGCGUAGAUAUCAGGAGGAACACCGGCGGCGAAGGCGGCCUGCUGGACCGUGACUGACGUUGAGGCUCGAGAGCGUGGGGAGCAAACAGG
This 253-nucleotide ribosomal RNA is filed under the name uncultured bacterium. RNAcentral's name for it is "partial 16S ribosomal RNA". It matches the Rfam family "Bacterial small subunit ribosomal RNA", at positions 524 to 776 of the family's 1533-position model. The record is from RNAcentral.